Molecule: ribosomal RNA, 400 nt
Filed under: uncultured bacterium
Lineage: Bacteria
Description: bacterial SSU rRNA
Rfam family: Bacterial small subunit ribosomal RNA
Source: RNAcentral
CAAGUCUUGACAUCCCUCUGAAUCCUCUAGAGAUAGAGGCGGCCUUCGGGGCAGAGGUGACAGUGGUGCAUGGUUGUCGUCAGCUCGUGUCGUGAGAUGUUGGGUUAAGUCCCGCAACGAGCGCAACCCUUGAUUUUAGUUGCCAGCACUUUGGGUGGGCACUCUAGAAUGACUGCCGGUGACAAACCGGAGGAAGGCGGGGAUGACGUCAAAUCAUCAUGCCCCUUAUGACUUGGGCUACACACGUACUACAAUGGCUGGUACAACGGGAAGCGAAGCCGCGAGGUGGAGCCAAUCCUAUAAAAGCCAGUCUCAGUUCGGAUUGCAGGCUGCAACUCGCCUGCAUGAAGUCGGAAUUGCUAGUAAUCGCGGAUCAGCAUGCCGCGGUGAAUACGUUCCC